Molecule: ribosomal RNA, 274 nt
Filed under: uncultured bacterium
Lineage: Bacteria
Description: partial 16S ribosomal RNA
Rfam family: Bacterial small subunit ribosomal RNA
Source: RNAcentral
AUACGGAGGGUGCAAGCGUUGUUCGGAUUUAUUGGGCGUAAAGCGAGUGUAGGCGGUUUGACAAGUCGAAUGUGAAAUCCCGAGGCCCAACCUCGGAACUGCAUCCGAAACUGUCAGGCUAGAGUCCCGGAGAGGAUGGCGGAAUUCCCGGUGUAGGGGUGAAAUCCGUAGAUAUCGGGAGGAACACCAGUGGCGAAGGCGGCCAUCUGGACGGUGACUGACGCUGAGACUCGAAAGUGUGGGUAGCAAACAGGAUUAGAUACCCUUGUAGUCC